GCCCGGGUGGUGGAACGGUAGACACGGGGGACUUAAAAUCCCCUGCGCAAGCGUGCGGGUUCGAGUCCCGCCCCGGGCA
RNAcentral lists this transfer RNA (79 nucleotides) under Deltaproteobacteria bacterium. Its description in RNAcentral is "tRNA-Leu". It matches the Rfam family "tRNA". Rfam says of the family: Transfer RNA (tRNA) molecules are approximately 80 nucleotides in length. Their secondary structure includes four short double-helical elements and three loops (D, anti-codon, and T loops). The record is from RNAcentral. Lineage: Bacteria; Pseudomonadati; Myxococcota; Myxococcia.